This 391-nucleotide ribosomal RNA is filed under the name Campostoma anomalum (central stoneroller). Its description in RNAcentral is "partial 12S ribosomal RNA". It matches the Rfam family "Bacterial small subunit ribosomal RNA", at positions 795 to 1386 of the family's 1533-position model. Lineage: Eukaryota; Metazoa; Chordata; Actinopteri; Cypriniformes; Leuciscidae. The record is from RNAcentral.
CUCAGCCGUAAACUUAGACGUCAACCUACAAUAAGACGUCCGCCCGGGUACUACGAGCAUUAGCUUGAAACCCAAAGGACCUGACGGUGCCUCAGACCCCCCUAGAGGAGCCUGUUCUAGAACCGAUAACCCCCGUUAAACCUCACCACUUCUAGCCACCCCAGCCUAUAUACCGCCGUCGUCAGCUUACCCUGUGAAGGCAAUAAAAGUAAGCAAAAUGGGCACAACCCAGAACGUCAGGUCGAGGUGUAGCGUACGAAGCGGGAAGAAAUGGGCUACAUUUUCUAUUAUAGAACACUACGGACAUGCAACAUGAAAUAGUGCUUGAAGGAGGAUUUAGUAGUAAAGAGGAAGCAGAGUGUCCUUUUGAACCCGGCUCUGAGACGCGUAC